GUAGGCAUUUUAUCAUCUCACAUCAUCACAAGAAGACACUCCCUUCAUGGGGUCCAAAGCCCUGAGCCAAACCUCUUCAUAGCUAAAAGCCGCAACCUGAGCACAGAAUCAGAAUGAACCAAAUCGAGUGGGCUGAACACCUCAUCACUGCAAGAACUUUCUAUCUCUGCCUGAGAGAUCUCCAGCCUGUGGCGACAUGCUGGUCACCAUAGAGACCUGAAAAGCACCCUUGUCUCAUUGGUACCACAUUUACAAACCAACCCUUAAGGUGGAUUACUUUGCAGAUGGCUGCUCUCAUCUAUUCAAUGUUGAUUCUAUUAGUUCGGAUUUCAGAAAGUGACAUUUUCUGACCUUGUCCCCUUAAGCACAAGCAAAAACUUUGGCUUCCUUUUUUUUUUUUUUUUUUUGGAAG
This is a long non-coding RNA of Hyaena hyaena (striped hyena), 412 nucleotides long. RefSeq lists it as uncharacterized. NCBI's taxonomy places the organism in Eukaryota, Metazoa, Chordata, Mammalia, Carnivora, Hyaenidae. The record is from RefSeq and is a predicted model, not a curated record. The transcript is spliced from 3 exons.